This 406-nucleotide ribosomal RNA is filed under the name uncultured bacterium. Its description in RNAcentral is "partial 16S ribosomal RNA". It matches the Rfam family "Bacterial small subunit ribosomal RNA", at positions 30 to 526 of the family's 1533-position model. The record is from RNAcentral.
AUUGAACUCUGGCGGCAGGCCUAACCAAUGCAAGUCGAACGAGUGGCGGACGGGUGAGUAAUGUCUGGGAAACUGCCUGAUGGAGGGGGAUAACUACUGGAAACGGUAGCUAAUACCGCAUACCAUCAGAUGUGCCCAGAUGGGAAUAGCUAGUUGGUGGUGUAACGGCUAACCAAGGCGAAGAUCCCUAGCUUGUCUGAGAGGAGGACCAGCCACACUGGAACGUAGACACGGUCCAGACGCCUACGGGAGGGAGCAGUGGGGAAUAUUGCACAAUGGGCGCAAGCCUGAUGCAGCCAGGCCGCGUGUAUGAAGAAGGCCUUCGGGUUGUAAAGUACUUUCAGCGGGGAGGCGUUACCCGCAGAAGAAGCACCGGCUAACUCCGUGCCAGCCGCCGCGGUAAUUC